RNAcentral lists this ribosomal RNA (403 nucleotides) under uncultured bacterium. Its description in RNAcentral is "partial 16S ribosomal RNA". It matches the Rfam family "Bacterial small subunit ribosomal RNA", at positions 30 to 526 of the family's 1533-position model. The record is from RNAcentral.
AUUGAACGCUGGCGGCAGGCCUAACACAUGCAAGUCGAGCGAGCGGCGGACGGGUGAGUAAUGUCUGGGGACUGCCCGAUAGAGGGGGAUAACUACUGGAAACGGUAGCUAAUCCCGCAUACUAUCGGAUAACCCAGAUGGGAUUAGCUAGUCGGUGGGGUAACGGCUCACCGAGGCGACGAUCCCUAGCUGGUCUGAGCGGAUGAUCAGCAAAACUGGGACUGAGACACGGCCCAGACUCCUACGGAGGCAGCAGUGGGGAAUAUUGCACAAUGGGCGCAAGCCGGAUGCAGCCAUGCCGCGUGUAUGAAGAAGGCCGUAGGGUUGUAAAGUACUUUCAGUCGGGAGGCGUUACCGGCAGAAGAAGCACCGGCUAACUCCGUGCCAGCAGCCGCGGUAAUUC